GCAGCCGCCGCGGUAAUACGGAGGGUGCAAGCGUUAAUCGGAAUUACUGGGCGUAAAGCGCACGCAGGCGGUUUGUUAAGUCAGAUGUGAAAUCCCCGAGCUUAACUUGGGAACUGCAUUUGAAACUGGCAAGCUAGAGUCUUGUAGAGGGGGGUAGAAUUCCAGGUGUAGCGGUGAAAUGCGUAGAGAUCUGGAGGAAUACCGGUGGCGAAGGCGGCCCCCUGGACAAAGACUGACGCUCAGGUGCGAAAGCGUGGGGAGCAAACAGGAUUAGAUACCCGGGUAGUCCCUGUCUCUUAUAC
RNAcentral lists this ribosomal RNA (302 nucleotides) under uncultured bacterium. Its description in RNAcentral is "partial 16S ribosomal RNA". It matches the Rfam family "Bacterial small subunit ribosomal RNA", at positions 508 to 807 of the family's 1533-position model. The record is from RNAcentral.